Molecule: long non-coding RNA, 3447 nt
Organism: Cucumis melo (muskmelon)
Lineage: Eukaryota; Viridiplantae; Streptophyta; Magnoliopsida; Cucurbitales; Cucurbitaceae
Exons: 3
Source: RefSeq, a predicted model, not a curated record
CACUUGGUUCCAGUUGGCAUUAGUUUAAACACUUCUUUCUCUCCUCCCAAAUUUCUGAAAUUUUCCAUAGUCAUAGCUCCAUCCCAACAAUUUUUUUUCGCCUAAGGAAGAACAAGGUAUCAUUCACCCAUUUCUUCUUCUUCUUUAUCUCUCUUCCUCUUCUUCCCUUUUCUUUCUUCUUCUUCCUCUUAUCUUAGAUUUGCAACGGUGAGAGAGUUCGGCGGCUUGAGCUUUUGAGAAGGAAAUUCUCAGCCUCCACGGUGGCGAAGUGCUGUGUGGUCACAGCGAGAUUAAUUGGCUAUCAGGUAUGAAAGUCAUUGCUCUCGUAAUCUAUAUCUAUAAGUUUCGCUCUCAAAAGAUUUCAACUUCCAUUGAAACCCAUCUCUCAAAUCUUCUUUCCCAUGUGAUCCGUCAUUCACGCCUCAACCAUAAAUAAGCCUCUUUCUUCUCCAUGUUCGUCAUCCUAUAUGCAACUCCUUGAUAUCCUGACACAACUUCUAUGCAAUCUAUUGAAAUAAUCCAUAAGUGAUAUUAUCCCAGAAGGAGCAUGCUCUAGGCUCACCACCAAGUGGCAUCCUAAGUAGGAUAUAGAGAAGAAAAGAGUGUCGAUUCCCCAACUGUUAGCAACUCUUUCAAUUAUUUCUUUUUCAAUGUUGACAGGGGAGAUGGAGGAUUUGGAUAGAUGGAUGUUCAAACCUGAUGCAACUUCGAAAAGAUGGAUAGCAUUUUGAAGAUUUCUAAUGCUAUUAUCAUCAUCUUCAACAAAGAGAAGAAUGUCAUUUGCAAAUAAGAGAUGAAUUAGAUUGAUAUCAUUGAUGAGAACCCCUUUGAUUUUGUUGGAGUUUUCCAAGUGCUUAAGGAUGCAGCUGAGAUAAUCCAUAGCUAACACAAAGAUUAAAUGAGAGAUGGGAUCUCCUUGUCUGAUUCCUCUUUUUGGUUUAAUCCUGCCACGAGGUUUGCCAUUAAUGAGGAUAGAGUAUUGAACUGUGGAUAUGCAAGUUUUGAUCCAGUCCCCCCAUUUUUUAGAAAGGUUUUUCUUCUUGAGCAUGAAGUCAAUGAAAUUCCAACUAAUUUUGUCGAAUGCUUUUUCUAGAUCAAUUUUGAUGACAAAUCCUCUUGUUUUCUUUCUUUUCCAUAGGUCAAUGUUCUCAUUGGCAAUGAGUAUAGCAUCAUCAAUUUGUCUUCCAUGCACAAAGGUCAUUUGGUUUUUAGAUAUGGUAUUUGGAAGAAUAGCUUUCAGUCUAGUGGAAAGAGUUUUAGAAAUAAUCUUGUAUAAAGAGGUGGUAAGACUGAUGGGUUUGUAAUCUGCAGCAGCAAGGCUUAUCUCCUUCUUUGCAAUAAGGGCUAUGUAGGUUACAUUUGUUCUUUUGUUGAUCUUCCCAUUUUGGAAAAAACCCUGGAAUGCUUCCAAUAUGUCAUUCUUAAAAACGUUCCAAUUUUUUUAAAAGAACUCAAGGGUGAAGUUAUCAGAACUGGGAGCUUUAUUGCCUUCAAAGGAGAAGAUUGAGUUUCUGAUUUCUUCCUCAUUAAAGGGUGCAGUGAGUUGCUUAGAAGAGAGGUAGUCAAUGGGGUUCCACUCGAGAUUAUCAAUGAGGCAAGAAAUCUUUUGUUUAGUAGCAUAUAUUGAUUUGAAGUGAUUUAUAAAAACUUUAUGCAUACUCUCAUUGGUGCUAUAGUCGAUGCCUUAUGUAUCAUAGAUCUCAGAGAUUGAUUUCUUCUUUUUCUAGCAGAACAAACUUUAUGGAAAAAGUUUGUAUUUUCAUCCCUCACUUAGCCAAAGUCUUUUAGCUCUUUGAGGCCAAUAUUGAGCUUCUUUAAUGGUAGCAUCCAUAAGAUCAACCUUGAGAGUUUUUCUUCUAUCAUGGUCCUCUUUAAAAAGAGUAUUUUGUAAUUCCAUAGAGUCAAUCUUUUAAAUUUCUUGCCUCUAGAGCACAUCUCAUGAUCUUUGGCAUAUUUUCUUUUAAGUUGCCAACCUUUGGUAUUUUUUGCAAGCUGCUUCAAUCUUUUCAUAAAGGAAUAUCCUGGGUAAUCAUCCUUCUGACUUUUAGUCCACCAAGUGGUGAUAGCCACAUAAAAGCACUCCUUUUUUAUCCCUACAUUGUUUAGUCUAAAGGAGGAGGUCCUUAAGAAAGACUAAGAAAUUCAAGGACAAUAGGGAAGUGGUAUGAGGUACUUUUGGUGAGAAGUUCACAGUGAUGUAGAGAGAAUAUAAGCUCCCAAUUUGGGGGGAGGGUUAAUGAGGUGGAGAUUCUAGAUGAGAGAAUUGCAUUUAUUCAUGUUAUGUUCAGUCGGAUUGAGUGAAGAUGUUUCAGCCCUUCAUCUUACCACAUUAAAAUCUCCACCUAGAAGCCAGUUAAGACCACAAGAAUUUGAUAAGUUGUUAACUUCCUCCCUAAAACUGCCUCUUUUUUUUUUCUUUUCUGUUAACAGAACCAUAUACAGUAAUAAUCCACCAACUAAAACCAUCAGGCUCUAUGAUAUUAGUUGAGAUUGAGAAGGACCCUUCUAUACAGUUGACCACAUUAUAUUUCAUGUCAUCCCACAUUAAGAGAAUGCCACUAGUUCUACCUUUAGCUUUUUUAAAAAGCCAUUUUAUACUAAUGGAACUCCACGAACAUUUGAUAAUUCUUAUGUUCAUAUCAAGCAUUUUAGUUUCAGAGAAACAAAAUCAAGAAAGUAGCUAGAAAUUUCUUUUUUUAUUUGAGCUCUUUUUUGCGAAGAGCAAAUCCCUCUUACAUUCCAAGAAUGCAUUUUCGUGGUGAACUAUUCGAUCCCAAAGGCUUAUAGCCUAUUUCAAUAUUGUUUUCAGUUCCCAUAUUGGUUGUGAAGGUGCUUACAAUGUUGUCAAAAGCUGGAGCGAGUUUGAGGUUGUUGUCCUUUAGCCAAGUAAUGAGCUGCUUUUUAAAGAGCUUUUCACUGAUUUUCUUCUUGCCAAUCCAUUUAUCUGAUUUCCCUUCUUCUUCCUCACUAUCCACCAGAGUGACCAAGUUGUCUCUAAUGAUCUCAGAUUGAGUUGGGGAGAUUUGGAUUGGUGUCAUUAGAGGGGAGUCAGGGCUGGGGAUAUGCUCAACUUCCAUCUCCUCAGCUAUAGGGAAAAUGUUCCCAACUCGACUGUCAGAUUUAUGACCUUCUCUUUUUUCUUCUAGAUGCUUGAAGGGCUUCCUUUGUACGUUGGAUUUUCAAUUCGAAGAGGCUUGGCAGGAGCAUUCUCAGGAUUAUAAAAAAAAAGUUUUGUUCUUAGGAGAGGGGAAAACUUACUUUUCUUCUUGGGUUUGGCAUUUGUUGAGGAGAAAUAUCACUUAAGUUAUACCACAUAUUGAUCUAAAGGGUUGUUCAUGUAUUCUUUUUCUUCAUUCUUGGUUUAAAUUUAAGUUUUGUCUAGACAAUCGAAGUUUAUUUUUAAAUUAACAUUAAUUUUCAAUGUUCAAAUUUUUGUUCUAAAGUUAA